AUUUUUAGUAAAUUUUUGCCGCAUGACCAUAUAUAUAUUUUGUUGUAAGCGGCAUCACUGGCAUUUCUAGUAACAGUAACUGCUACUUGUGUUUUCCUAGUUUGUUAAGUCUUCGAGAAAUGAAAUACGAAACACCACUGCAUGGUACCCUACGGAAAAUGCAGUACGAGUAUAUAAUUGCGCUCUUGUAACCAGCACCCAUUCCGUAGUAAGCGUAAAUAUUGGCUUCAAACCUUUAUUUUUCACUUGCAAUGUGUAGUUACA
Molecule: long non-coding RNA, 264 nt
Filed under: Mytilus galloprovincialis (Mediterranean mussel)
Lineage: Eukaryota; Metazoa; Mollusca; Bivalvia; Mytilida; Mytilidae
Source: RNAcentral